GAUGAAGAACGCAGCGAAAUGCGAUAAGUAAUGUGAAUUGCAGAAUUCAGUGAAUCAUCGAAUCUUUGAACGCACAUUGCGCCCGCCAGUAUUCUGGCGGGCAUGCCUGUUCGAGCGUCAUUACAACCCUCAGGCCCCCGGGCCUGGCGUUGGGGAUCGGCGGAAGCCCCCUGUGGGCACACGCCGUCCCUCAAAUACAGUGGCGGUCCCGCCGCAGCUUCCAUUGCGUAGUAGCUAACACCUCGCAACUGGAGAGCGGCGCGGCCAUGCCGUAAAACACCCAACUUCUGAAUGUUGACCUCGAAUCAGGUAGGACUACCCGCUGAACUUAAGCAUAUCAAUAAGCGGAGGA
This 352-nucleotide unclassified non-coding RNA is filed under the name soil metagenome. RNAcentral's name for it is "partial contains 5.8S ribosomal RNA, internal transcribed spacer 2, and large subunit ribosomal RNA". The stretch from base 1 to 120 matches the Rfam family "5.8S ribosomal RNA", at positions 35 to 154 of the family's 154-position model. The record is from RNAcentral.